CUUAAAUUGAAGAGUUUGAUCAUGGCUCAGAUUGAACGCUGGCGGCAGGCCUAACACAUGCAAGUCGAGCGGUAGCACAGAAGAGCUUGCUCUUUGGGUGACGAGCGGCGGACGGGUGAGUAAUGUCUGGGAAACUGCCUGAUGGAGGGGGAUAACUACUGGAAACGGUAGCUAAUACCGCAUAACCUCGCAAGAGCAAAGAGGGGGACCUUCGGGCCUCUCGCCAUCAGAUGUGCCCAGAUGGGAUUAGCUAGUAGGUGAGGUAAUGGCUCACCUAGGCGACGAUCCCUAGCUGGUCUGAGAGGAUGACCAGCCACACUGGAACUGAGACACGGUCCAGACUCCUACGGGAGGCAGCAGUGGGGAAUAUUGCACAAUGGGCGCAAGCCUGAUGCAGCCAUGCCGCGUGUGUGAAGAAGGCCUUCGGGUUGUAAAGCACUUUCAGCGGGGAGGAAGGCGGUNAUCGAUUGACGUUACCCGCAGAAGAAGCACCGGCUAACUCCGUGCCAGCAGCCGCGGUAAUACGGAGGGUGCAAGCGUUAAUCGGAAUGACUGGGCGUAAAGCGCACGCAGGCGGUCUGUUAAGUUGGAUGUGAAAUCCCCGGGCUUAACCUGGGAACUGCAUUCAAAACUGACAGGCUAGAGUCUUGUAGAGGGGGGUAGAAUUCCAGGUGUAGCGGUGAAAUGCGUAGAGAUCUGGAGGAAUACCGGUGGCGAAGGCGGCCCCCUGGACAAAGACUGACGCUCAGGUGCGAAAGCGUGGGGAGCAAACAGGAUUAGAUACCCUGGUAGUCCACGCUGUAAACGAUGUCGAUUUGGAGGUUGUGCCCUUGAGGCGUGGCUUCCGGAGCUAACGCGUUAAAUCGACCGCCUGGGGAGUACGGCCGCAAGGUUAAAACUCAAAUGAAUUGACGGGGGCCCGCACAAGCGGUGGAGCAUGUGGUUUAAUUCGAUGCAACGCGAAGAACCUUACCUACUCUUGACAUCCAGAGAAUUUGCUAGAGAUAGCUUAGUGCCUUCGGGAACUCUGAGACAGGUGCUGCAUGGCUGUCGUCAGCUCGUGUUGUGAAAUGUUGGGUUAAGUCCCGCAACGAGCGCAACCCUUAUCCUUUGUUGCCAGCGAUUCGGUCGGGAACUCAAAGGAGACUGCCGGUGAUAAACCGGAGGAAGGUGGGGAUGACGUCAAGUCAUCAUGGCCCUUACGAGUAGGGCUACACACGUGCUACAAUGGCGUAUACAAAGAGAAGCGACCUCGCGAGAGCAAGCGGACCUCAUAAAGUACGUCGUAGUCCGGAUUGGAGUCUGCAACUCGACUCCAUGAAGUCGGAAUCGCUAGUAAUCGUAGAUCAGAAUGCUACGGUGAAUACGUUCCCGGGCCUUGUACACACCGCCCGUCACACCAUGGGAGUGGGUUGCAAAAGAAGUAGGUAGCUUAACCUUCGGGAGGGCGCUUACCACUUUGUGAUUCAUGACUGGGGUGAAGUCGUAACAAGGUAACCGUAGGGGAACCUGCGGUUGGAUCACCUCCUUACCAAGAAG
RNAcentral lists this ribosomal RNA (1539 nucleotides) under Pectobacterium brasiliense. Its description in RNAcentral is "bacterial SSU rRNA". It matches the Rfam family "Bacterial small subunit ribosomal RNA". The record is from RNAcentral. Lineage: Bacteria; Pseudomonadati; Pseudomonadota; Gammaproteobacteria; Enterobacterales; Pectobacteriaceae.